CACGGGGGGAGCAAGCGUUGUUCGGAAUUACUGGGUGUAAAGGGUUCGUAGGCGGUGCGGCAAGUUGGGAGUGAAAUCUCUGGGCUUAACCCAGAGGCUGCUUCCAAAACUGCUGUGCUUGAGUGUGGGAGAGGCGCGUGGAAUUGCAGGUGUAGCGGUGAAAUGCGUAGAUAUCGUAAGGAAGACCAGUGGCGAAGGCGGGUCUCUGGACAGUUCCUGACGCUGAGGCACGAAGGCCAGGGGAGCAAACGGG
Molecule: ribosomal RNA, 253 nt
Filed under: uncultured bacterium
Lineage: Bacteria
Description: partial 16S ribosomal RNA
Rfam family: Bacterial small subunit ribosomal RNA
Source: RNAcentral